GACGAACGCUGGCGGCGUGCUUAACACAUGCAAGUCGAACGGAAAGGCACUACUUUCGUGCGCUGACCGAGUGGCGAACGGGUGCGUAACACGUGAGUAACCUGCCCUAGACUUUGGGAUAACUUCAGGAAACUGGGCCUACUACCGGAUCGGAGCUCCUGCUGCAUGGUGGGGGUUGGAAAGUUUCGGCGGUUGGGGAUGGACUCGCGGCUUAUCAGCUUGUUGGUGGGGGAGUGGCUUGCCCAGGCAUUGACGGGUCGCCGGCCUGGGAGGGUGGCCGGCGACCAGGGUACUGAGGGACGGAGCAGAGGCCUACAGUGGACAGUAGGGGGAAGUAUGAUACAGUGGUACGAAGUCGGUUGCGGCGGCGUUGCGGGCGGGAAGACGGUCUGUGGGGAGUGAACCGCAGUCGCCUGUUACGAAGCUGGAGUGACGGUAAUGGGUGAAUAAGCACCGGCUAACUACGUG
RNAcentral lists this ribosomal RNA (468 nucleotides) under uncultured bacterium. RNAcentral's name for it is "partial 16S ribosomal RNA". It matches the Rfam family "Bacterial small subunit ribosomal RNA", at positions 28 to 507 of the family's 1533-position model. The record is from RNAcentral.